AAUCUGCCCAGUCUGGGGAUAACGUAGGGAACUUACGCUAAUACCGCAUGCGCCUUCGGGGGAAAGCCGGGGACCUUCGGGCCUGGCGCGAUUGGAUGAGCCCACGUCGGAUUAGCUAGUUGGCGGGUAAAGGCCCACCAAGGCGACGAUCCGUAGCUGGUCUGAGAGGAUGAUCAGCCACACUGGAACUGAGACACGGUCCAGACUCCUACGGGAGGCAGCAGUAGGGAAUAUUGGACAAUGGGACGCAAGCCUGAUCCAGCCAUGCCGCGUGAGUGAAGAAGGCCCUCGGGUUGUAAAGCUCUUUUGUCCGGAAAGAAAAGCGCCGGGUUAAUACCCUGGUGUCCUGACGGUACCGGAAGAAUAAGCACCGGCUAACUUCGUG
RNAcentral lists this ribosomal RNA (385 nucleotides) under uncultured bacterium. Its description in RNAcentral is "bacterial SSU rRNA". It matches the Rfam family "Bacterial small subunit ribosomal RNA", at positions 123 to 507 of the family's 1533-position model. The record is from RNAcentral.